CGAGAUUCUUUUGUUUUUAAUUAGUUCGUUUCGUUAUACGUUUUGAAAAUUAGUAUUGCCUCUCAUGAUUAUAUCUUGUCAAAUUCAUUGUGAUUGUUUCGUUUGGCGUUCAUAGUUGGAACUCAUAUUUGUACUCUGUAGACUAGUACAACAUAUCUAAAUUUAUUUUGAUAUUGUAGUAAUGUGCAUGUUAAUAUUUUUGGAGACUUUGUGUUGAUAUCUCGUUUCAGUUUAACAUGUACAUGUUAGAACCACUUUGUUGUGUCGCAUGUCUUGUGACAUUAUAUUUUGUUAGAAUACCGUAGGGUAUACCUGAGCUAUAACCACCUGUGGGGGUACCACAGGCAUGUCCUCUUGGCACCGAGGCAUGACACCUUCCGUGGCGGUGUGAUCAGUCCACGGCGUCUCCGUUUUGUGCUCCGGUGGGAGUUGGCCAGUUGGUGUUUUGUUGUGGGAGGCGUAUGGGUCAACCCUAGUUUUCUGUUCUGUUCUG
This 493-nucleotide long non-coding RNA is filed under the name Panax ginseng (ginseng). RNAcentral's name for it is "long non-coding RNA (PGIN_LNC007845)". Lineage: Eukaryota; Viridiplantae; Streptophyta; Magnoliopsida; Apiales; Araliaceae. The record is from RNAcentral.